GGAUGUGAGGGCGAUCUGGCUACGAUAUCUAUCACCGAAUUGAUCACCAGGGUUGAUUCCGCUCAUCUGGCUAGACGGGUGUCCCUUUCCUAUCUCACUGUUCCACAUGCGUCCCUCCUUCAUGCUUGGUCAAAGAGGACGACCUUCCCGGAAUAGAGGAGGACAGUCUUCCGUCAAAGGCAUAAGAGUAGCUGCGAUCCCCAGCUAGAACCUCCAAACAAGCUCUCAAGAAUCUAUGCAGGUUCCCACACUCACUCUACAACUUAAUACUCAAAUACAGACUAUACCACAGAAAGACAUUCAAAUUAGGUUUAAUCU
Mesocricetus auratus (golden hamster) is the source of this 318-nucleotide unclassified non-coding RNA. Its record names the gene 7SK. It matches the Rfam family "7SK RNA". Rfam says of the family: 7SK was discovered as an abundant small nuclear RNA in the mid-70s but a possible function has only recently been suggested. Two independent studies have found that 7SK RNA binds the CDK9/cyclin T complex (known as elongation factor P-TEFb). Lineage: Eukaryota; Metazoa; Chordata; Mammalia; Rodentia; Cricetidae. The record is from Ensembl.